UUACGGCCACAUCAUGUUCAAACGCCGGUUCCCGUACGAUCACCGAAGUUAAGCAACGUUGAAGCUGGUCAGUACCUAUAUGGGUGACGGCUUGGAAAUGUUAGGUGCUGUAAG
Acanthosepion pharaonis is the source of this 114-nucleotide non-coding RNA. NCBI's taxonomy places the organism in Eukaryota, Metazoa, Mollusca, Cephalopoda, Sepiida, Sepiidae. The record is from the annotation of a GenBank genome assembly.